This 299-nucleotide ribosomal RNA is filed under the name uncultured bacterium. RNAcentral describes it as "partial 16S ribosomal RNA". It matches the Rfam family "Bacterial small subunit ribosomal RNA", at positions 30 to 326 of the family's 1533-position model. The record is from RNAcentral.
AUUGAACGCUGGCGGCAUGCCUUACACAUGCAAGUCGAACGGCAGCACGGGAGCAAUCCUGGUGGCGAGUGGCGAACGGGUGAGUAAUAUAAUCGGAACGUGCCCAGUCGUGGGGGAUAACGUAGCGAAAGCUACGCUAAUACCGCAUACGAUCUAUGGAUGAAAGCGGGGGAUCGCAAGGACCUCGCGCGAUUCGGAGCGGCCGAUAUCAGAUUAGGUAGUUGGUGAGGUAAAGGCUCACCAAGCCGACGAUCUGUAGCUGGUCUGAGAGGACGACCAGCCACACUGGGACUGAGACA